Molecule: unclassified non-coding RNA, 395 nt
Filed under: soil metagenome
Description: partial contains 5.8S ribosomal RNA, internal transcribed spacer 2, and large subunit ribosomal RNA
Rfam family: 5.8S ribosomal RNA (bases 1-120)
Source: RNAcentral
GAUGAAGAACGUAGCGAAAUGCGAUAAGUAAUGUGAAUUGCAGAAUUCAGUGAAUCAUCGAAUCUUUGAACGCACCUUGCGCCUUUUGGUAUUCCGAAAGGCACACCUGUUUGAGCGUCAUGAAUACCUCAAUCUCCAUCUUUUCUUCGGAUUGAUGGGUGACUUGGAUGUUGAGCCCUGCUGGUAUGCUAUAUCAGCUGGCUUUAAACUUAUUAGCCGGCUCUGUACUGGAUCGGUUUGACUCGACGUGAUAAUAUUAUCGUUGAGGAUGCAUGUCUCAUGCAGCCGGAAAGUAUCAAAGCAGCUUCUAGCUUGCCUUUAGUGCACUUUUACAUUUUAGUCCUCAGAUCAGGUGGGACUACCCGCUGAACUUAAGCAUAUCAAUAAGCGGAGGA